Molecule: long non-coding RNA, 578 nt
Filed under: Anas platyrhynchos platyrhynchos (common mallard)
Lineage: Eukaryota; Metazoa; Chordata; Aves; Anseriformes; Anatidae
Description: lncRNA (ENSAPLG00000018278.1)
Source: RNAcentral
GUUUAAGAUGAGUUGCAUUAGAUGUAAAAGCUUUAACAUAAUAAUCUUUCAGAAGCCUAGAUAAGCAUAGCAGAGAAGAGAUAGAUAGGCAAAAUAAAGAAAAAUAAAUAAAUGACACCAGGCAGUGCCCCAGGGUGCUGGCUGAGUGUUUUUGCAUUCCUUUUGAAUUUUUUUCCUUUUUAAGUAAAAGGCUUUUUUUUUUUUUUGGUCCUAAAUCCAAACAGAACAGUGUUCUUUAUAGCAGUUCAUUUAAAGGAAAAGGAAAAAGCUGAGAAUGGGAAGUCUUCAGUGAAAGAGGCUGAGACAAAACUCCAGGCCAGGACUGUGAAAUCCAAUCAUUCCUGAGAGCCCCACAAAAUCAGCUUUGCUUGCAGCUGCUCACGCCACCGCUGAUUCUUGCUGUUGCUUUUUCAGCACGUAACGGGGGAGCAAGUACACCUAAUCUGGGACUCUGCUUUGCAGUGAGCUCUGUGAAUAGGAUCACAGUGAGACUCAACGGACCAUAGAGAUGCUCUGAUUAGAAAUCCUCUCAUUAACCAAAGAGUUCCAGGAAAUAAAUCAAAUUAAAACCCAGAGCA